RNAcentral lists this ribosomal RNA (429 nucleotides) under Gemmatimonadota bacterium. Its description in RNAcentral is "Gemmatimonadetes bacterium partial 16S ribosomal RNA". It matches the Rfam family "Bacterial small subunit ribosomal RNA", at positions 355 to 776 of the family's 1533-position model. The record is from RNAcentral. Lineage: Bacteria; Pseudomonadati; Gemmatimonadota.
UAGGGAAUCUUCGGCAAUGGACGAAAGUCUGACCGAGCAACGCCGCGUGAGUGAAGAAGGUUUUCGGAUCGUAAAACUCUGUUGUUAGAGAAGAACAAGGACGUUAGUAACUGAACGUCCCCUGACGGUAUCUAACCAGAAAGCCACGGCUAACUACGUGCCAGCAGCCGCGGUAAUACGUAGGUGGCAAGCGUUGUCCGGAUUUAUUGGGCGUAAAGCGAGCGCAGGCGGUUUCUUAAGUCUGAUGUGAAAGCCCCCGGCUUAACCGGGGAGGGUCAUUGGAAACUGGGAGACUUGAGUGCAGAAGAGGAGAGUGGAAUUCCAUGUGUAGCGGUGAAAUGCGUAGAUAUAUGGAGGAACACCAGUGGCGAAGGCGGCUCUCUGGUAUGUAACUGACGCUGAGGCUCGAAAGCGUGGGGAGCAAACAGG